This 23-nucleotide ribosomal RNA is filed under the name Strobilurus conigenoides. RNAcentral's name for it is "partial large subunit ribosomal RNA". Lineage: Eukaryota; Fungi; Basidiomycota; Agaricomycetes; Agaricales; Physalacriaceae. The record is from RNAcentral.
UWUGACCUCAAAUCAGGUAGGAC